Molecule: ribosomal RNA, 266 nt
Filed under: uncultured bacterium
Lineage: Bacteria
Description: partial 16S ribosomal RNA
Rfam family: Bacterial small subunit ribosomal RNA
Source: RNAcentral
GAUCAUGGCUCAGGAUGAACGCUAGCUACAGGCUUAACACAUGCAAGUCGAGGGGCAGCAUGACCUAGCAAUAGGUUGAUGGCGACCGGCGCACGGGUGAGUAACACGUAUCCAACCUACCGGGUUAUUCCGGGAUAGCCUUUCGAAAGAAAGAUUAAUACCGGAUAGUAUAACGAGAAGGCAUCUUCUUGUUUAUUUAAAAGAAAUUUCGUAUAACCGAAUGGGGAGUGCGUUCCCAUUAGUUUGUUUGGCGGGGUAACGGGCCC